This is a long non-coding RNA of Triticum dicoccoides, 323 nucleotides long. RefSeq lists it as uncharacterized. The transcript has 3 exons. The record is from RefSeq and is a predicted model, not a curated record. Lineage: Eukaryota; Viridiplantae; Streptophyta; Magnoliopsida; Poales; Poaceae.
UUUGUUCUAUAUGUAAUCCUGACAAACAGUUCUCUAAUUUUCACUUGGUGCUUUCACUGAAAUAAACUUUUCAGUUUGUUUGUUCUAUGAGCAGCGUGCAUCUUCUUUGUCCUCUCCACCAAGCAGCGUCGACUACGCCAUCUCCCCCCAGGUUCAUCUUUACUUGAAAUCUAAUUUGCAUGUUGGUUGGUGUUCUUCAAGAAUCAGGGUACUAAUUUGUGAUAUGAUUGGUGAAAGAGGUUGAAAAUGUUCCUGCAAGACUGGUUAAGACACCUUGCUGUAACCAUAUGUGUUGAGCUCACACAGAAGACCUGACAAGCUUU